UAGGGAAUCUUCGGCAAUGGACGAAAGUCUGACCGAGCAACGCCGCGUGAGUGAAGAAGGUUUUCGGAUCGUAAAACUCUGUUGUUAGAGAAGAACAAGGACGUUAGUAACUGAACGUCCCCUGACGGUAUCUAACCAGAAAGCCACGGCUAACUACGUGCCAGCAGCCGCGGUAAUACGUAGGUGGCAAGCGUUGUCCGGAUUUAUUGGGCGUAAAGCGAGCGCAGGCGGUUUCUUAAGUCUGAUGUGAAAGCCCCCGGCUCAACCGGGGAGGGUCAUUGGAAACUGGGAGACUUGAGUGCAGAAGAGGAGAGUGGAAUUCCAUGUGUAGCGGUGAAAUGCGUAGAUAGAUGGAGGAAAACCAGUGGCGAAGGCGGCUCUCUGGUCAGUAACUGACGCUGAGGAUAGAAAGCGUGGGGAGCAAACAGG
This 429-nucleotide ribosomal RNA is filed under the name Gemmatimonadota bacterium. RNAcentral's name for it is "Gemmatimonadetes bacterium partial 16S ribosomal RNA". It matches the Rfam family "Bacterial small subunit ribosomal RNA", at positions 355 to 776 of the family's 1533-position model. The record is from RNAcentral. Lineage: Bacteria; Pseudomonadati; Gemmatimonadota.